This 253-nucleotide ribosomal RNA is filed under the name uncultured bacterium. RNAcentral's name for it is "partial 16S ribosomal RNA". It matches the Rfam family "Bacterial small subunit ribosomal RNA", at positions 524 to 776 of the family's 1533-position model. The record is from RNAcentral.
UACGGGGGGGGCAAGCGUUGUUCGGAAUUACUGGGCGUAAAGGGCUCGUAGGCGGCCAAUCAAGUCGGACGUGAAAUCCCCAGGCUCAACCUGGGAACUGCGUCCGAUACUGGUUGGCUUGAAGUCGGGAGAGGGAUGCGGAAUUCCAGGUGUAGCGGUGAAAUGCGUAGAUAUCUGGAGGAACACCGGUGGCGAAGGCGGCAUCCUGGACCGAUCUUGACGCUGAGGAGCGAAAGCUAGGGGAGCAAACGGG